Echinops telfairi (small Madagascar hedgehog) is the source of this 905-nucleotide long non-coding RNA. RefSeq lists it as uncharacterized. The record is from RefSeq and is a predicted model, not a curated record. The transcript is spliced from 2 exons. Lineage: Eukaryota; Metazoa; Chordata; Mammalia; Afrosoricida; Tenrecidae.
GGCCGUCACUGUCUCUCUUCCACAGACAGGGAAACCGUGUCACACAGCAGUGAUGGACCAGAGGAGCCCGCUGUGGCGGGGCAGACAGUUGCCCUUGGCAGUGCUGUUUGUUCUCUCCAGACAGCUUGAACUGUACCCACCUGGCCCAACGCUCCACUCUGCAGAUGGGGAACGUGGGGUCUGGAAUAUGGGCCCCUCUUUAAGAGAGCGCCUGUCCCCGCCUCUCAGAACCUCUCUCAGGAAUCACAACCUUUGAGCUGAUGGGUACAGGGAGCAAGUCCAAGCCUCCUUUGGGGAAACUGAGGUCCAGAGACCAAGCUUCCAGAUGCUACUCCCCAGCCAAAGCCCUGCCCCCAUAUCCCCCCCCAACCCGGCUCCUGGUGAGAGCGCCGGGGGCACAGGGCCAGGGGGGCGCUGGUAGCAGAGGAGACGUGUGAUCAUCAAGCCACGGGGCUUUGGGGCCAGGCAGCCUAGGUCAGAGUUCCUGGCUCUGUCCUCACACGCUGGGGAACCCCACUCUCCGGCUAUUUCCUUUCCUGUGGGAAGUGGCCGUGGCCCUCACACACACACAUACACACACACCCCAGGGUGUCAGGGGAGAGGACUGAACAGCUCUGCGGCAUGGAGGGGGAUCUGACAUGUCAACACUAACCCCACCCUAGGUGCCAUCCUCCUGAGGAGAAUGCUGGGAUAGUCACUUAGGCCCCUGCCAGCUUCACAGCCCUGGGCCCCAAGCGCCUGUGACGGGACAAUAAGGAAACACACACCCGUGCUUGGAACUCAUAUCAGUGGCCCCCCCAGAUCAGUCAUGGCCUCUGAUUAAGAUCAUCCUCAGGAUAAAAAAAAUAAUUAAAAACGAAACAAACAAACAUAACAGCGGGAAAUAAUAAAAUCCUAAUACUGCG